Molecule: long non-coding RNA, 444 nt
Filed under: Homo sapiens (human)
Lineage: Eukaryota; Metazoa; Chordata; Mammalia; Primates; Hominidae
Description: non-protein coding lnc-TMEM232-7:2
Source: RNAcentral
AUUUUCCCCGAUUGUCAGUGAGGCUCGGCACGCAGACACCCCGCUCGAGCCGCAGCAGUCGCUCUACUCCCGGGAUCAGCACCUUUCCGCCAGGGCUGCUCUCAGUUAGCGAUGUCAGGCCAGAGCUCCUCUUGCAGAUGCACCUUUAAUUUGGCCUCCCUCAGAUGACUGGUAAUCAUUUUGCGCACAUUCAAAAUGGAAAACCACUAAGAUAAUGAUAUUUUAAAGGAUGUAUCAAAAAAGCUAGCAGAUGAAAUGGAAUAAUAAAAAAAAAUUACCAAGGAAUUCAAGAACGGAGGAAUAAAGGAACAAAGGACAGGAAUCUUCUGCGGCUUGUCCAUAGUGUGAAUAAAAACUAAAUCACAUCUAUAAUUCUACUGAACUGGUCACACAGACGCUGCCAUAUAUGUCACAGUACACUGAAAAGGAGCCAGCAGGUAAGGA